Long non-coding RNA from Thalassophryne amazonica, 159 nucleotides. RefSeq lists it as uncharacterized. The record is from RefSeq and is a predicted model, not a curated record. The transcript is spliced from 4 exons. Lineage: Eukaryota; Metazoa; Chordata; Actinopteri; Batrachoidiformes; Batrachoididae.
ACUGAAGUGAUGCUUCACUGCUCACCUACAAAGUUGUUCAUGGACUGGCACCAGCCUAUCUGGCUGAUUUAGUUAAACCUUAUGUACCGGCUUUGCGUUCAUGGGAUGCAGGACUGCUCUGUGUCCCAAGGGUGAGGAAAAAGUCUGCAGGACAGAGAG